AGUGAAAGCCAGCUACAGUUCCUACCACUGUGCUGAGACUUCCAGGACCGAAUGCUUGUCUCUCAUCUCUACCUCCUAGGGUCAACGGCAGAUGGAGCUGGGGGAGACCUGUGACCUACACCCUGUGUUCGUCUUCUGUAACAGAGAGAGAUGAGGUCCAGGCAGCACAGAACUCUGAAACAACCAUGUAAAUGUGAAGGUCACCUCCUAGAAGAUGGAAGACUGCAUGGAAAAGAAGCAGGGCUCCUCAGCUGAGUCUCCCCAGACUGAGCAGCCAGCGAUGCCUGAAUUUCUUCACCUUUCCAUUAUGAACAUUUUGGGUCAAAUGAUUCUUUAUGUAGGUGCUUGUGCUGUGCAUUGUAUGAUGAUUAGCAGCACUCCUGGAUUGAUUCUUAUAAAAUCCCCCAGCUAUGACAGUAGGUAUUAUAACUAGACAUUGCCAAGUGACCACACACAGUAAGGGGGUGGGUUUAAAUUGGGAAAUCACCUUGCUAGACCAUCAAGCCCCAGCUGGCACCCCUGGCUGAAGAAUCACUCAAUUGACUGUCAGAAAAAAGAUGAACCAUCAGGUGUUAGGAUGGUUUGUUUGUCAUCAAAAGUCAACUAGCACAGUCUCUGCAACAGAGGCAGUGUAUAUUCGCCACAACUUUCUGCUUCCUGGAUGCACAGAAAGACUACAUUUCCCAAGCUUCUUUGUUCUAGGUGGAGAGCGUGCAAUUCAGUGCUUGCCAGUGAGGAGUGAUGAAUCGCUCUAUCUGGAGCAUGACUGCUGGUACAAGUCUACCUUGUCCAUGCUUCUUGUAUCUGCUUGCCUGGAAAGAAGGGACUCCAACACAGUGAGAGCUACAAAAUAGGAGUCCUUACACCUUCGGCACCACUGGAGAAAAGCUGCCCGGCAAGGUUACCUGAUCUCCCCUGGACUGUGACAUAAGCCACAAUGAGAUUUAGGGUUUAUUCCUUAUCACAGCAAAAUCUGACCACCAUCUUCCUUCUUAAAAUACAUUAUAGAUCGGAAAUACCACGUUUAGGUUUUCUUUUGAGACGAGAAAUGAGAAAGUUUGAAUUAGAUUUUCCAGGAAAAGAACAGAUUUCCUUCAACAACUUAAGCCAGUUACAUCAACUGCCAGAGUGCAAAUCCCAGCUUUUACAUUCACUCAUUCAGUAGAUAUUUAUUACGUAACUCUAAAUACCAACAACCACACUGAGAACAAAGCUGCCUGGAUGAGUAAGACAUGAUUCCUGUCCCUGAGGAAAACACAGCCCAUAGGAGAAGAAAACCACAUUGAAGGAAAAUUCUCAAAAUACGUCAACCACAACCAUGAAUAACCUGUAAGCCACGUGCCUUGAGAUCUUCAAAACAUUAGUAAAUAACUGCGUAGAAGAAUCAGGAAAGGAUUCACAGGGGUUAUGCUAUUAUAGGAGUUGAUUUCUAUUAUACAGAAAAAUACAGUGAAUAUUCAAAUUAAAAAUUUAUUACAGUAACACACACAUAGCUAUUAAUCCUUCUCAAAAUCCUAUCCCUUACUUCAAACAUAACUUAUACCAUCAUUCGUGCCACUUUCUGAAGCAGUUCUGGAAGUCCCACUUUGUGAAUAUCUUUUUUCUGGCUGUCUCAGUGUCCUGAAUUAAUUCAAAUGUUGACAGCAAUUUAUGUCAACUAAAAGCCUGACAGUGCAUCCUCAACCACAUCAUGCACCAGAUCUGGUGCUGUGCAACUUGUGGCUCUUCCUCAAUGUUGAAAUGACUACCUCGAAGGGUAGGUGUUCUGAAUUGAUUCAGGACAUCAACAGGAUAACUGAAAAGAAUGGAUAAAUACAGAUUUUUAAUAGGUAACAAAGGGAAAAAUGUAUGGGAGUAUUAACAACAGAAGAACAUUGUUGACCAAGGAAGAACAACAGGAAAAUAUGUGGCAAUGUGGAGUGGCAUGGGAAAAGAAUUGAGGAGACUCAUCUCACCGAUAGACAAUGUUCUGUGUAUUUAUUGUCAUAUGAACUACUCCAACAUGCAACAGCUUAUAGAAACAGCUAUUUUCUUUUCCUGCAUGAUUUUGUAACCAGGGCCUUGUCGGAUGAUACUUCAGCAGCAUGUGCUGCGGAUGGGUGUUGUUCACAUGGAUUUGGCUGAUGGGUGGGCUAAUGUGCAGGAUGCAACGAAACUUUACUCCCAAGUCUGAUGCCUCCUAGGGCAGAAGGCUGGGCUCCCCUGAGACUGCUGACCUCAGCACCAACAUCCCACCUCGCUAGUACAACUGGCCUGAAAUAGCCAGACCCUUCAUUUUCCGGGGCUCCCAGAGAGAGGCCCAGGGAGCAGAAUGUGAAGGUACCAGGAUGGUGAGCCUGAGAUUACAGACUGACCUGGACUCACUUCUGCCAUAUUCUGUGAUCCACGUAACUACAGAGGCUGCCCAGAUUCCAGAGGAAGUGGUCACCCCACUUCUUCGUGGGAUGAAGAGUGGAAAGUUUAUAGUCCAGAGCAGAGGUCUUGAUGUCUCUGUAAACCAGACAAAAGUUUCUGUCCGAUUGAACCCUAGCAGUAGGAACAUUGAUAUCUAACAUGUUUUUCUGAGCCCAGUUGGACUCCUGCCUUUUUUGAGAUAGAGUCAUUGUCAGAGAAGAGCCUGAAAGAUCAGUAAGACUUUUUUUAACCAAGCCAGCUUUGGCAGGAGAAGCACUCACAUCAGAUGCAAGAAGACAGAACAUUUAGCAAGCAGCCAAAUUGUGGCACCGUGUGGAAGACGGCUGUCUGGACAGGAAGUGCAGCUCAGAGAACAGGUGCCAACUGCUCUUCUGCUGCUCCUGAGCUGCUGCCUCUGAAGAAGCUAUGAGGAAACCUCCUUGAAUGCAGCAGGGAUCAGAGAGGUACCGAGGCCCCUUGCGAACAACCCCAACCUCCCCAAACCCCAAUUAGCUGUGAUUAACACAGCUAGCCCUCCUGAAGAUUCUCUGCUUUGGCCUCAGUGUUUUCAUGGAGAUGUAAAAGCUGUCAAUCAAACAGUGGGGGACUGUGAAUCUGUGAAUGUCCCCUGGAACCACUCCCAUGACAGCCGCAGCUCUCCAGAGUCCCCUGCCCCACCUCGGGAGGUAUCCACUCUGACCACAGUGAGCUUGAAUUUCAACUGAACAGUACAGGGGAAUUCACCAAUAAGUAGGCUCGGGAGGAAGGUUUGCAUUUAGACCGAUUUGGACCUAGAGAGAGGCUCCAGUGUGGACCAGUGAGCAGAUUUGAAUUUGGACCACUCACAGGUCUGAACUCAGAACAGUCGUAGGCCUGGGCUUGGAUGAACCACAGGUCUGCAGCUGCUGCAUAAGCAGCUGUCCUUUCACGCUUGUUGGGUUGGUCUAGGAGGGCUCCCCCUUGUGUACUGACCGAUUCCCCUGAACUACAGCACAGGUCUUGUUCCAAUGAAGCCCUGUUCCGAUGGCCCUGCAACUCUGCUCCUGAUCUAUUUCUUGGCUACUCUGGGCUCAGAAGGUCCUGUAAAUCCAUUCAGGAUUCUUCUCCUGAGUAGUGUGGACAGAAUGGUCGUUUUAAAAGACAAAGCAGUAAACGCCAGGAGCUGUUAGUCUUAAAGAGACCUGUGACAAGUCAGCCAGUGGCAUCCUGCAUUGACUGAUAUCUAGUAGCAGCAGCAGCUCCCAAAGCUGUAACACUGAGGCCUGAGGGGCAUUAGAGCUCAAAGCCCAGAGCUGCACUUCACAAAAGAACCUGCCACCGACUGGAAACACUAUGUUUUCAGCCCUUAGAAUACAGUAGGCCCUUGAUAGAAAGGUAUAGAGUGCAUGGAUAAAUCAAUCUCCAUUUUAUAGAUGAGAACACUAAGAAAGAUAAUUUAAUGGCUUGCUUGAAGUCACACAGCAAAUGACUAGCAGACUAUGUAUUCAAAGGCAGCCAGGCAUCUGGUCCAAGAUCGAAGGGUGUAACCCUCUCCUCACUGCUUUCCAAGGAAACAAUGUAUCCAUGGGUUAUAGCUCUUUAAAUUGGACUGCCUGGGUCUACCUAUGAUCAACAUAGCUGUGUGACUGAUCCAUGCAGUGGUCUUAAUAAUAUCAAGUCCGCAGAGACAGCAUGACAUUUAAGAAGACAUAAGAAAAUGAUCUGCAGUCUCUCACGCACCGUAGGUCUGCCAUAUCGCUUUGCAUUACUAUCAUGAUCAUUCUGAUUGCCGCAAUGAGCAAGUUGCUACCCUCCACUGCCUGGGUUUAAACAAGUGGGUCUUGGGUGUAUCCCAUCCUGGGCUUUAUUCUUGCACUUUCAAAGGCAAAGCUGAGCUUCUGCAGAGACUGCUGACCUUGCAUGCUAAUGCUUCUGAUUUUCUGCCUGAGCCCCCAGUCUAGGGCAAGAGGAAUGCAGCUCACAGGGGUGAAGGUGCUUUGACCCUGAUUCCAAUGCCCUUGAGAGGAAGAGCAGCAUGGCUGCCCUAGGAUGAGCUUCUCAUUCCAGAGCUUCACUGCUCGGAGCUAUUUCGAUGAAUAUAAAAUGAAGGGGCUGAGUUAGAGGAUUUCCAGAAUACCACCGGACUCUGUGCUCCCAGGAUGUAAAUAGUGCUAUGUUCAGAAAUAGAGACAAUGGAUGUGCAGCAAGUGAGAGAAAUGAAACAGUCAUGUGGAAAAACCCAAAGGCAAGACUUUAAAGAACCAGAUCUGGUUCCAGCGAUGUCUAAAGGAUUGUUGCAUUCCAUUCUUGCAUUCCCUAAGAUACUCUGUAUCCUAAUCAGAUCCUUAUUUGUUAGUUUGUGAGCUUAUUCCAUUUAGCCUUCUGUUUCUUGUCACCAAAUAAAAUCCUAACAAAUACCCCAACAUGAAAAAUGAAGUCCUGGGAGCAAAAACCAGGCUAGAGUGAGCAGAGAGUACAAACUGAAGAGGUAGAAAGCAUGAGGAGGCAG
This is a long non-coding RNA of Heterocephalus glaber (naked mole-rat), 4882 nucleotides long. RefSeq lists it as uncharacterized. Lineage: Eukaryota; Metazoa; Chordata; Mammalia; Rodentia; Bathyergidae. The record is from RefSeq and is a predicted model, not a curated record.